AAAAAAAAAGAAGAAUGCUAAGAUAAACUAAGACCAGACGAUAGACUCUUCGAAACGGCGGAAAGAAGCAUUACUCGUUGCCUCUGCGGAAAACCGAGCUUGAAAUUUGAAUUGAAACAUCUUAAUACCAAGUAAAAAUCAAACGAGAUUCCGAGAGUAGUGGCGAGCGAAAUUGGAGUUGUAUAAAAGGUGAUCAUAGAUCUAGACUAAACGUUAGUUUAUACUGAUAGUGAGAGUACUGUAAAGGAAAGUUGAAAGAGAGUUGAAAAGAGCAGGAAUCUUUUUUUUUUAAGCAGCUUUAAAACAGCGUACCUUUUGUAUAAUGGGUGAAAGAGAUUAAUUUGGCGUAUUUAAAAAAAGGAAAAUUAAAAGAGAUUUUUUUUAGUCAAAAAUACCCGAAACCAAGUGAUUUAAUCAUGGAUAGUAAAUUAGAACGAACUGGUGGUUGUGGCAAAACUCUCAGAUAAUCUGUGAUUAGGGGUGAAAAACUAAUCGAACUUGGACAGAGCUGGUUUUUUGCGAAAACUAUUUAAGUAGUGCGCUUUUUAUUCUAUUUUUUUUGUAAUAAAAUAAAUAAUAAAAUAAAAAAAAAGUAGACAAACAAGAAAUGAAAAGAUUUUUUGUUAAAAGAGAAAGCUCCAAUCAGAAGUUAAGGUCAUUUAUUUCUUUUUAGUGUAAAAAAAAAUAGUCGGUUUAGACAAUAAAAAAGUAGGCUUGGAGCCAGCCAUCUUUUAAAAAGUGCGUAGUUGUUUAUUUAAUAAAUUAAAUUUUUUUUUAAUUUUGGUGGUUAAAAUGAAACUAAAACUCUGAAAAUAUAAUUAUUUAGUAGCAAAAUACACUGUUUUUCAGUAGAAACAAUUUUUACAUGAGUAAUCUAAAUAUUAUUUUUUUUUCUUUAUAUUACCAUUUUUGGGUUAUACAGACCCUAAGAACUUUUUUCUAUGGGAAUUUUUAAAAAAUAUAUUAUAUCCGGAAAAAAUAAAAAAAGGAGCUGUUUUUCUAACUAAAGAAAGAAAAAAAAAAGAGACACAUUUUUUUAAGGAACUCGGCAAAAGAGAACUUCGACUGUUUACCAAAAACAUAGCUUUUUGAUUUUUAUAAAAGGGUGAGACCUGCCCUAUGGUUGUAUCUAAAAAAGUUUGUUUUGCUUACUAAUAAAGACAACUAAAUGGCUGCGG
Molecule: ribosomal RNA, 1178 nt
Filed under: Astrangia sp. JVK-2006
Lineage: Eukaryota; Metazoa; Cnidaria; Anthozoa; Scleractinia; Rhizangiidae
Description: large subunit ribosomal RNA
Rfam family: Bacterial large subunit ribosomal RNA
Source: RNAcentral